UACAGAGGUGGCAAGCGUUGUUCGGAUUUACUGGGCGUAAAGGGUGCGUAGGCGGUCUUGCGUGUCGGGUGUGAAAGUUCACUGCUCAACGGUGGAAUUGCACUCGAAACUGCAAGACUAGAGUACAGGAGAGGAGAGCGGAAUUCUUGGUGUAGCAGUGAAAUGCGUAGAUAUCAAGAGGAACACCGGAGGCGAAGGCGGCUCUCUGGAAUGAUACUGACGCUGAGGCACGAAAGCUGGGGGAGCAAACAGG
Molecule: ribosomal RNA, 253 nt
Filed under: uncultured bacterium
Lineage: Bacteria
Description: partial 16S ribosomal RNA
Rfam family: Bacterial small subunit ribosomal RNA
Source: RNAcentral